RNAcentral lists this transfer RNA (91 nucleotides) under Dysosmobacter sp. Its description in RNAcentral is "tRNA-OTHER". The record is from RNAcentral. Lineage: Bacteria; Bacillati; Bacillota; Clostridia; Eubacteriales; Oscillospiraceae.
GGCCUAGAUGGAGCGAAAAGGGCGCUGCUACGCCCCUUAUCGAAUAUUCACACGCAUGAGGCCACUGGUUCGAGUCCAGUAGUCUCCACCA